RNAcentral lists this ribosomal RNA (122 nucleotides) under Notechis scutatus (mainland tiger snake). Lineage: Eukaryota; Metazoa; Chordata; Lepidosauria; Squamata; Elapidae. The record is from RNAcentral.
AUUUUCUACAAUUGGUUCAAAGUAACUGCCCCUUCUGGCCAGCUGGUCUCAGAAACAUAACAGGAAUAAACUUGCUUAGUACUUUGAUGGAAGACUUCAAGGGAAUGUUAGGGAUAUAAGUG